UCUCCGGCAAUGGGCUCUGGCGGCUAGGGCUUAGGUUUGGGUGCGGAUGAGGUUAUUUAUACCCAUCCGCUUUUAAUUUGAACCGUCCAUCGCUUUUAAUCUGAAUCGUUCGAUCGCGAUUAAAUAGAGAAUGAAUCUGGACCGUUCAUCGUAAUUCAAUGUAGGCCAUCCGUGUACGAUUCAAUCUGUACCGUCCGUGCGCGAUGCUCUGGACCGUCUGUGUGCGUUUUUGAUCUGGACCGUUCAUGCGCGCGGGAACGGAUCUUAGCCGUUCGAUCGCGUGCACUCAGAUCACCUACGUAGCUCCCUCCCGCGUGGCCUCCUGCGUUAGCCUCUCUGCCCCUGGCACGUCUUGGUUGGCCAGGACUGCUGACUGGGCAGCUGACGUGGCACAACUUUUCUAAAUUAUAUUUUGACCCACCGGUUUUCGAUUUUUCUUUCAAAAAUACCUCCAGAACCCAAAUUUUCACCUAUUUUUUCCAAAAUUGUUUUUAAUUAAAUUCCUAAAUAAUUUUUACCCAUUAUUAUUAUUAUUAUUUCUAUUA
RNAcentral lists this long non-coding RNA (545 nucleotides) under Carica papaya (papaya). RNAcentral describes it as "long non-coding RNA (CPAP_LNC006957)". The record is from RNAcentral. Lineage: Eukaryota; Viridiplantae; Streptophyta; Magnoliopsida; Brassicales; Caricaceae.